AACGAACGCUGGCGGCAGGCUUAACACAUGCAAGUCGAACGGUCUCUUCGGAGGCAGUGGCAGACGGGUGAGUAACGCGUGGGAACAUACCUUUCGGUACGGAACAACAGUUGGAAACGACUGCUAAUACCGUAUACGCCCUGAGGGGGAAAGAUUUAUCGCCGAGAGAUUGGCCCGCGUUGGAUUAGCUAGUUGGUGGGGUAAUGGCCUACCAAGGCGACGAUCCAUAGCUGGUCUGAGAGGAUGAUCAGCCACACUGGGACUGAGACACGGCCCAGACUCCUACGGGAGGCAGCAGUGGGGAAUAUUGGACAAUGGGCGCAAGCCUGAUCCAGCCAUGCCGCGUGAGGGAAGAAGGUCUUCGGAUUGAAACCUUUGUCAACAGGGAAGAAGCAAGUGACGGGUACCUGAAGAGGAAGCCACGGCUAACUACGUG
Molecule: ribosomal RNA, 436 nt
Filed under: uncultured bacterium
Lineage: Bacteria
Description: bacterial SSU rRNA
Rfam family: Bacterial small subunit ribosomal RNA
Source: RNAcentral